This 362-nucleotide transfer-messenger RNA is filed under the name Escherichia coli. RNAcentral's name for it is "Standard tmRNA". It matches the Rfam family "transfer-messenger RNA". From Rfam's summary of the family: Bacterial tmRNA, also known as 10Sa RNA or SsrA, is named for its dual tRNA and mRNA-like properties. Its role is to liberate the mRNA from a stalled ribosome. The record is from RNAcentral. Lineage: Bacteria; Pseudomonadati; Pseudomonadota; Gammaproteobacteria; Enterobacterales; Enterobacteriaceae.
GGGGCUGAUUCUGGAUUCGACGGGAUUUGCGAAACCCAAGGUGCAUGCCGAGGGGCGGUUGGCCUCGUAAAAAGCCGCAAAAAAUAGUCGCAAACGACGAAAACUACGCUUUAGCAGCUUAAUAACCUGCUUAGAGCCCUCUCUCCCUAGCCUCCGCUCUUAGGACGGGGAUCAAGAGAGGUCAAACCCAAAAGAGAUCGCGUGGAAGCCCGCCUGGGGUUGAAGCGUUAAAACUUAAUCAGGCUAGUUUGUUAGUGGCGUGUCCGUCCGCAGCUGGCAAGCGAAUGUAAAGACUGACUAAGCAUGUAGUACCGAGGAUGUAGGAAUUUCGGACGCGGGUUCAACUCCCGCCAGCUCCACCA